GACGAACGCUGGCGGCGUGCUUAACACAUGCAAGUCGAACGGAAAGGCCCUGCUUUUGUGGGGUGCUCGAGUGGCGAACGGGUGAGUAACACGUGAGUAACCUGCCCUUGACUUUGGGAUAACUUCAGGAAACUGGGGCUAAUACCGGAUAGGAGCUCCUGCUGCAUGGUGGGGGUUGGAAAGUUUCGGCGGUUGGGGAUGGACUCGCGGCUUAUCAGCUUGUUGGUGGGGUAGUGGCUUACCAAGGCUUUGACGGGUAGCCGGCCUGAGAGGGUGACCGGCCACAUUGGGACUGAGAUACGGCCCAGACUCCUACGGGAGGCAGCAGUGGGGAAUAUUGCACAAUGGGCGGAAGCCUGAUGCAGCAACGCCGCGUGCGGGAUGACGGCCUUCGGGUUGUAAACCGCUUUCGCCUGUGACGAAGCGUGAGUGACGGUAAUGGGUAAAGAAGCACCGGCUAACUACGUGCCAGCAGCCGCGGUGAUACGUAGGGUGCGAGCGUUGUCCGGAUUUAUUGGGCGUAAAGGGCUCGUAGGUGGUUGAUCGCGUCGGAAGUGUAAUCUUGGGGCUUAACCCUGAGCGUGCUUUCGAUACGGGUUGACUUGAGGAAGGUAGGGGAGAAUGGAAUUCCUGGUGGAGCGGUGGAAUGCGCAGAUAUCAGGAGGAACACCAGUGGCGAAGGCGGUUCUCUGGGCCUUUCCCGACGCUGAGGAGCGAAAGCGUGGGGAGCGAACAGGCUUAGAUACCCUGGUAGUCCACGCUGUAAACGGUGGGUACUAGGUGUGGGGUCCAUUCCACGGGUUCCGUGCCGUAGCUAACGCUUUAAGUACCCCGCCUGGGGAGUACGGCCGCGAGGCUAAAACUCAAAGGAAUUGACGGGGCCCCGCACAAGCGGCGGAGCAUGCGGAUUAAUUCGAUGCAACGCGUAGAACCUUACCUGGGUUUGACAUGGAUCGGGAGUGCUCAGAGAUGGGUGUGCCUCUUUUGGGGUCGGUUCACAGGUGGUGCAUGGCUGUCGUCAGCUCGUGUCGUGAGAUGUUGGGUUAAGUCCCGCAACGAGCGCAACCCUUGUUCACUGUUGCCAGCACGUUAUGGUGGGGACUCAGUGGAGACCGCCGGGGUCAACUCGGAGGAAGGUGGGGAUGACGUCAAGUCAUCAUGCCCCUUAUGUCCAGGGCUUCACGCAUGCUACAAUGGCUGGUACAGAGAGUGGCGAGCCUGUGAGGGUGAGCGAAUCUCGGAAAGCCGGUCUCAGUUCGGAUUGGGGUCUGCAACUCGACCUCAUGAAGUCGGAGUCGCUAGUAAUCGCAGAUCAGCAACGCUGCGGUGAAUACGUUCCCGGG
This 1343-nucleotide ribosomal RNA is filed under the name uncultured bacterium. RNAcentral's name for it is "16S ribosomal RNA". It matches the Rfam family "Bacterial small subunit ribosomal RNA", at positions 28 to 1378 of the family's 1533-position model. The record is from RNAcentral.